Molecule: ribosomal RNA, 497 nt
Filed under: uncultured bacterium
Lineage: Bacteria
Description: partial 16S ribosomal RNA
Rfam family: Bacterial small subunit ribosomal RNA
Source: RNAcentral
GACGAACGCUGGCGGCGUGCCUAAUACAUGCAAGUUGAGCGCUGAAGGUUGGUACUUGUACCAACUGGAUGAGCAGCGAACGGGUGAGUAACGCGUGGGGAAUCUGCCUUUGAGCGGGGGACAACAUUUGGAAACGAAUGCUAAUACCGCAUAAAAACUUUAAACACAAGUUUUAAGUUUGAAAGAUGCAAUUGCAUCACUCAAAGAUGAUCCCGCGUUGUAUUAGCUAGUUGGUGAGGUAAAGGCUCACCAAGGCGAUGGUACAUAGCCGACCUGAGAGGGUGAACGGCCACAUUGGGACUGAGACACGGCCCAAACUCCUACGGGAGGCAGCAGUAGGGAAUCUUCGGCAAUGGACGAAAGUCUGACCGAGCAACGCCGCGUGAGUGAAGAAGGUUUUCGGAUCGUAAAACUCUGUUGGUAGAGAAGAACGUUGGUGAGAGUGGAAAGCUCAUCAAGUGACGGUAACUACCCAGAAAGGGACGGCUAACUACGUG